Small nucleolar RNA from Juglans microcarpa x Juglans regia, 107 nucleotides. The record is from RefSeq and is a predicted model, not a curated record. NCBI's taxonomy places the organism in Eukaryota, Viridiplantae, Streptophyta, Magnoliopsida, Fagales, Juglandaceae.
UACCCAUGGUGAGGACAAGCAUUAAACAAAUCCUUGAAUCUCUCCUAACAUUGGUAAAAGGUUUCAGUAUUUUUUUAGCAAAAUUCAUGAUUUGUCUUUUUAAUGCA